Molecule: non-coding RNA, 143 nt
Organism: Caenorhabditis elegans
Lineage: Eukaryota; Metazoa; Nematoda; Chromadorea; Rhabditida; Rhabditidae
Source: Ensembl
AGAAAAGAGCACAGGGUAUCUAUGAGCAUCAGACGGGACAUGACACGGGAAGGGCAGCAUUUCCCGAGUGACAAAUUGCGUGGCGGAAAGCCCAUCCAAUGACUGACAAUUUGUCCGAUUGCUUCCCAUCCGAUCGUUUCUCU